UUCCAGAUGACGAGUCCCAAAUAGGACGAAAUGCACAUCCUGGAU
This 45-nucleotide non-coding RNA is filed under the name Trichobilharzia regenti. Lineage: Eukaryota; Metazoa; Platyhelminthes; Trematoda; Strigeidida; Schistosomatidae. The record is from RNAcentral.